Molecule: unclassified non-coding RNA, 343 nt
Filed under: soil metagenome
Description: partial contains 5.8S ribosomal RNA, internal transcribed spacer 2, and large subunit ribosomal RNA
Rfam family: 5.8S ribosomal RNA (bases 1-120)
Source: RNAcentral
GAUGAAGAACGUAGCGAAAUGCGAUAAGUAAUGUGAAUUGCAGAAUUCAGUGAAUCAUCGAAUCUUUGAACGCACAUUGCGCCCGCUAGUAUUCUGGCGGGCAUGCCUGUCCGAGCGUCAUUUCAACCCUCAAGCCCCCGGGCUUGGUGUUGAGGAUCGGCGAGCCUCCGCGCCCGCCGUCCCCUAAAUCUAGUGGCGGUCUCGCUGUAGCUUCCUCUGCGUAGUAGCACACCUCGCACUGGGAAACAGCGCGGCCACGCCGUUAAACCCCCAACUUCUGAACGUUUGACCUCGGAUCAGGUAGGAAUACCCGCUGAACUUAAGCAUAUCAAUAAGCGGAGGA